CCCCUCUCCUUCUCCCUCUCCCUCUCUCUGUGUGUUUUUAGGUGAGAAUAGUAAAUCACUUCUGAUGUAGUCAAGGACAAAGGUCUGAGUGCUCACUGUGUAAGAUAACACAGCUGCAAAAUUCUUAUUCCUCAUGCCAGAGAUGGAAGGCCAAGGCCUUAUGCAUGGUGAGGAGGUGCUCCACCACUGAGCUACUUACCUCAGCUCUGUCAUGUCUCUGUAACAUCAUUCUACCGAUCAAUGAAAGAGGAUUAAAUAAAGUUCUUCAACAACUUGUUUGUUUGUUCUGAAAAUUA
Molecule: long non-coding RNA, 296 nt
Organism: Grammomys surdaster
Lineage: Eukaryota; Metazoa; Chordata; Mammalia; Rodentia; Muridae
Exons: 2
Source: RefSeq, a predicted model, not a curated record